RNAcentral lists this ribosomal RNA (492 nucleotides) under uncultured bacterium. Its description in RNAcentral is "partial 16S ribosomal RNA". It matches the Rfam family "Bacterial small subunit ribosomal RNA", at positions 29 to 507 of the family's 1533-position model. The record is from RNAcentral.
AGUGAACGCUGGCGGUAGGCCUAACACAUGCAAGUCGAACGGCAGCACAGUAAGCGCUUGCUCUUACGGGUGGCGAGUGGCGGACGGGUGAGGAAUACAUCGGAAUCUACUUUUUCGUGGGGGAUAACGUAGGGAAACUUACGCUAAUACCGCAUACGACCUACGGGUGAAAGCAGGGGAUCUUCGGACCUUUCGCGAUUGAAUGAGCCGAUGUCGGAUUAGCUAGUUGGCGGGGUAAAGGCCCACCAAGGCGACGAUCCGUAGCUGGUCUGAGAGGAUGGUCAGCCACACUGGAACUGAGACACGGUCCAGACUCGUACGGGAGGCAGCAGUGGGGAAUAUUGGACAAUGGGCGCAAGCCUGAUCCAGCCAUACCGCGUGGGUGAAGAAGGCCUUCGGGUUGUAAAGCCCUUUUGUUGGGAAAGAAAAGCAGCAGGUUAAUACCCCGCUGUUCUGACGGUACCCAAAGAAUAAGCACCGGCUAACUUCGUG